This 840-nucleotide ribosomal RNA is filed under the name Triticum aestivum (bread wheat). RNAcentral's name for it is "partial small subunit ribosomal RNA". The stretch from base 364 to 502 matches the Rfam family "Small nucleolar RNA Z247". The record is from RNAcentral. Lineage: Eukaryota; Viridiplantae; Streptophyta; Magnoliopsida; Poales; Poaceae.
AUGGCGGGCUUCCUCGAUCUGGAGCAGGAAGUGCCUCCCAUGACGAUCGAGGUGACCAGCAGCGACGGCAAGACCAAGUCGAAGGCCACCAACCCUGAGUUUGGCACCUGGUAUGCUCGUGAUCAGCAGGUGUUUUCCUAUCUGCUGACUACGUUACCUCGUGAGAUGGCCAUCCAGGUGGCAACCUGCCACACCGCCGCGGAGCUGUGGAACACCGUGCAAGGGAUGCUCACCUCGCAUACCCGAGCACGGUCCGUCAACGUCAGGAUCGCACUGGCGAAUCUUCAGAUGGGCAACUCCACCAUCACGGAGUAUGUUGGUAAGAUCAGAACUCUUUGUGAUGAGUUGAUGACUUCAGGAAAAAAGGUGGACGAAGAAGAUGCGGUUUCACACAUCCUUGCCGGGCUGGAGGAAGAAUUCGAUCCCGUGGUUUCUUCCAUGUGCUCACGGGUCGAAUCUGUAACCGUCCUGGAGCUGUACUCGCAGCUUCUGAGCUUCGAGACACGCAUGAACCUUCGCGGGGGAGCCUCCCAGUCCUCCGCCAACGCUGCAUCACGCGGGCGCUUCACCAACUUCAACAACAAGCAGAACGGCAACGGCGGCAGCGGUGGUGACCGCGGUCACUCCUUCAACAACAAACAAGCUGGUGGCGGUGGUGACCGCGGCCGGAGCUUCAACAAGCCCAACGGCGGGGGUGGCCGUGGCAAUUCAGGAGGAAACGGUGGCGGCUUCAACAACAACUCCGCUGCCAAACCAACGUGCCAGAUCUGUGGCAAGGUUGGGCAUGUUGCUUGGAAGUGCUGGAAGCGGUACGACUCCGCUUACCAGGGAGGGGAAUAA